CGAUUUGCUGGGGGCAGAUGAAGUGGAUGUGGCUAUCGAACCCGCCGGCCGUCAGGAUGCGGCCUUCGCCGGCGAUUGCCUCGGUUCCCGGGCCAAUGAUAAUAUCGACGUUGGGUUGGGUGUCGGGAUUGCCCGCCUUGCCAAUCUUGUGGAUCAAGCCGUUUUUCAGACCAACGUCGGCUUUGUAGAUACCGGAGUGGUCGACGAUCAGGGCGUUGGUGAUUACCGUAUCAACCGCCCCCUCGGCGCGAGUGGCUUGGGAUUGGCCCAUGCCGUCGCG
Molecule: small RNA, 280 nt
Filed under: marine eukaryotic metagenome
Description: 5' ureB small RNA
Rfam family: 5' ureB small RNA
Source: RNAcentral